RNAcentral lists this ribosomal RNA (464 nucleotides) under uncultured bacterium. RNAcentral's name for it is "bacterial SSU rRNA". It matches the Rfam family "Bacterial small subunit ribosomal RNA", at positions 29 to 506 of the family's 1533-position model. The record is from RNAcentral.
GUGAACGCUGGCGGCGUGCUUAACACAUGCAAGUCGAACGGUAACAGGAAGUAGCUUGCUACUUUGCUGACGAGUGGCGCACGGGUGAGUAUACUAUAGUUAAUGUGCCUCGAAGACUGGGAUAGCCACUGGAAACGGUGAUUAAUACCGGAUACUCCUUCUUACUCUAAGGUAAGUCGGGAAAGUUUUUUCGCUAAGAGAUCAGUCUAUGUCCUAUCAGCUAGUUGGUGAGGUAAUGGCUCACCAAGGCUAUGACGGGUAUCUGGUUUGAGAGGAUGAUCAGACACACUGGAACUGAGACACGGUCCAGACUCCUACGGGAGGCAGCAGUGAGGAAUAUUGCACAAUGGAGGAAACUCUGAUGCAGCAACGCCGCGUGGAGGAUGACGCAUUUCGGUGUGUAAACUCCUUUUAUAUGUCAAGAAAAUGACGGUAGCAUAUGAAUAAGCACCGGCUAACUCCGU